Brassica napus (rape) is the source of this 124-nucleotide non-coding RNA. NCBI's taxonomy places the organism in Eukaryota, Viridiplantae, Streptophyta, Magnoliopsida, Brassicales, Brassicaceae. The record is from Rfam.
GGAAUAUAAGAAUCCGUCUCUUAACUUUUAACUAAAAAACUAAGAACCGCCUUUUAAAUAAGAGUUUUAAGAACCGGUUCUUAACUUUUUUAAUUAAAAAUUAAGAGACGGGUUCUUAUAUUCC